RNAcentral lists this ribosomal RNA (433 nucleotides) under uncultured bacterium. RNAcentral describes it as "partial 16S ribosomal RNA". It matches the Rfam family "Bacterial small subunit ribosomal RNA", at positions 29 to 507 of the family's 1533-position model. The record is from RNAcentral.
AACGAACGCUGGCGGCAUGCCUAACACAUGCAAGUCGAACGAGACCUUCGGGUCUAGUGGCGCACGGGUGCGUAACGCGUGGGAACCUGCCCUUAGGUUCGGAAUAACUCCCCGAAAGGGGUGCUAAUACCGGAUAAUGUUUUCGGACCAAAGAUUUAUCGCCUUUGGAUGGGCCCGCGUUGGAUUAGCUAGUUGGUAGGGUAAAAGCCUACCAAGGCGACGAUCCAUAGCUGGUCUGAGAGGAUGAUCAGCCACACUGGGACUGAGACACGGCCCAGACUCCUACGGGAGGCAGCAGUGGGGAAUAUUGGACAAUGGGCGAAAGCCUGAUCCAGCAAUGCCGCGUGAGUGAUGAAGGCCUUAGGGUUGUAAAGCUCUUUUACCCGGGAUGAUAAUGACAGUACCGGGAGAAUAAGCGCCGGCUAACUCCGUG